RNAcentral lists this transfer RNA (54 nucleotides) under Clavinema parasiluri. RNAcentral describes it as "tRNA-His". Lineage: Eukaryota; Metazoa; Nematoda; Chromadorea; Rhabditida; Philometridae. The record is from RNAcentral.
AGCUAUUUAGUUUAUUUUAAAAUGGUCGUUUGUGGUGCGAUAGAGGUGUAGCUU